Molecule: ribosomal RNA, 468 nt
Filed under: uncultured bacterium
Lineage: Bacteria
Description: partial 16S ribosomal RNA
Rfam family: Bacterial small subunit ribosomal RNA
Source: RNAcentral
GACGAACGCUGGCGGCGUGCUUAACACAUGCAAGUCGAACGGAAAGGCCCUGCUUUUGUGGGGUGCUCGAGUGGCGAACGGGUGAGUAACACGUGAGUAACCUGCCCUUGACUUUGGGAUAACUUCAGGAAACUGGGGAUAAUACCGGAUAGGAGCUCCUGCUGCAUGGUGGGGGUUGGAAAGUUUCGGCGGUUGGGGAUAGACUAGCGGCUUAUCAGCUUGUUAGUGAGGUAGUGGCUUACCAAGGUUUUGACGGGUAGCCGGCCUGAGAGCGUGACCGGCCACAUUGAGACUAAGAUACGGCCCAGACUCCUACGGGAGGCAGCAGGGGGGAAUAUUGCACAAUGGGCGGAAGCCUGAUGCAGCAACGCCGCGUGCGGGAUGACCGCCUUCGGGUUGUAAACCGCUUUCGCCUGUGACGAAGCGUGAGUGACGGUAAUGGGUAAAGAAGCACCGGCUAACUACGUG